Molecule: ribosomal RNA, 448 nt
Filed under: uncultured bacterium
Lineage: Bacteria
Description: bacterial SSU rRNA
Rfam family: Bacterial small subunit ribosomal RNA
Source: RNAcentral
UGGGGAAUAUUGGACAAUGGGCGAAAGCCUGAUCCAGCAAUGCCGCGUGUGUGAAGAAGGCCUUCGGGUUGUAAAGCACUUUAAGUUGGGAAGAAAAAAUUCCACCUAAUACGUGGAGUCUUGACGGUACCGACAGAAUAAGCACCGGCUAACUCUGUGCCAGCAGCCGCGGUAAUACAGAGGGUGCAAGCGUUAAUCGGAUUUACUGGGCGUAAAGCGUGCGUAGGCGGUUCGUUAAGUCGGUUGUGAAAGCCCUGGGCUCAACCUGGGAAUUGCAGUCGAUACUGAUGGACUAGAGAACGGUAGAGGGAGGCGGAACUCCAGGUGUAGCGGUGAAAUGCGUAGAUAUCUGGAAGAACACCGAUGGCGAAGGCAACCUCCUGGGCCUGUUCUGACGCUGAGGCACGAAAGCGUGGGUAGCAAACAGGAUUAGAUACCCCCGUAGUCC